AAAGAGAGAGAAAGGAAAGGUUCGGCCUAAAAGAGAGAAAGUGAAUGGAAUAGAUGCAGAAAAAGAAUGACCCGAAUGGUCAGUUUUAGUUUCGGCACCUAGAGAAAAAAAAGGAAAAUGCAAAACCCCCAAAUGCUAGAGAAAAAAUUCGACUCCUAUAUACUCACUAAUUACCGAAAUGUAUACUUCAAAGUCCCCCUUAGCAGAUUCGACAACAACCUUCUACAACUCGCACUCCCCUUUUUCCUCCUAAAAUCACUCCUCCAAUCCUCUCCUUGAAAUCCUCCAUGAUCCACUCCUUAAAUCACUCAUUUGACCCAUUCAAACUCUCCAAAAUAGAGUUCAAAUCCAAC
This 353-nucleotide long non-coding RNA is filed under the name Gossypium raimondii (Peruvian cotton). RNAcentral's name for it is "long non-coding RNA (GRAI_LNC005651)". The record is from RNAcentral. Lineage: Eukaryota; Viridiplantae; Streptophyta; Magnoliopsida; Malvales; Malvaceae.